UGGCAUCACCACACUCCAGAAGAGGCGACCUGGGAGUUGGAGAGCGAGAUGAAAGAGAAGUUUUCAUACCUAAUUGAAACAAAUUUAGGGCACCAAAUUUUCUAAGGUGGAGAGAAUGUAAUCCCCACUCACCAUCGUGCUAAAUUUGUAUAUGAAAAUCCCUAUUUAUUCAGAUCUUAAGGCCACUUGAACUAAUUUAAAUUUAUCUUAUAGUUUAAAUUCGUGAUUUUAAUUUUAUUCUAAUUUUUAUUUUUUUAUUUAUAAUUAUUAUCAUUAUUUUAAUUUGUCAUAUUUUUUAUUAAAAUAAUUUUCAGGAGAAAAAAGGGGAAAAAGGGUGAAAUCCCACGAAAACACGACCGCGGGAAAAGGCCUCCCGCGCGGGCAUCUCACAUUGUGCGCGCGCGGCUAUCGUUGGACAUGCACACUGUUCGCACGUCUCAUUUGCCCUGUGCGCGCACCAUUAGCACAGUAUGUCUGCACAUAGCGUCUUGCAUGUUGUAGGCCCUGCGCACGCAUAGGCUAGCCCUUUGUGCAGCAGGAUAGGCGAACGCUUGUAGGCCAAGCCUACAACACGCGACGGACUUGAGGAG
RNAcentral lists this long non-coding RNA (590 nucleotides) under Carica papaya (papaya). RNAcentral's name for it is "long non-coding RNA (CPAP_LNC001472)". Lineage: Eukaryota; Viridiplantae; Streptophyta; Magnoliopsida; Brassicales; Caricaceae. The record is from RNAcentral.